Molecule: long non-coding RNA, 424 nt
Organism: Cajanus cajan (pigeon pea)
Lineage: Eukaryota; Viridiplantae; Streptophyta; Magnoliopsida; Fabales; Fabaceae
Source: RefSeq, a predicted model, not a curated record
UUAUAUAUACUUGUAUACCAAAUCAUGUAAAUUCAUAAGAACAAAAUGGAGUCUUCAAGGUAUUCCGUUGCCAAAGUGACAUUCUUAUUAGCUUUUAUCAUCAUGGCUUCAGAAAUGGGCAUGAAAUUAUCAGAAGCAAGGGGACCCAUUGCGCGACUACCUUGUGACAACGACAAGGAGUGUCAAGUUGGAUGUCGAAAUCCGUUUUGUGGUUGCGGAUCCGUAUGUAUUAACAAUGUGUGUCAGUGUCCGCCACCAAUUUCUACUAAUAAUGUUCCUAAUAGAGCUCCACACCCCUAAAAUGGCUGCUCCUUCCGAUGCAAUGUUCUUCAUAAUAAAUUAUUGCAUCUCUUUCUGUACCCAAUUGUUUCGUCAUCAAUAUUAAUAAAACUCUAGCCUUACUCUUUGCUUUUUUCUUGAUUAA